CUGCUGCCUUCCGUAGGAGUUUGGACCGUGUCUCAGUUCCAGUGUGGGGGACCUUCCUCUCAGAACCCCUACUGAUCGUCGCCCCGGUGGGCCGUUACCCCGCCGGCAAGCUAAUCAGACGCAUCCCCAUCCUUUACCGGCCGAAGCCUUUGGUCAUGAAAAUAUGCAUCAACAUGACAACAUAACGGUAUUAAUCCGCCUUUCGACGGGCUGUCCCAUAGUAAAGGGCAGGUUGGAUACGCGUUACUCACCCGUGCGCCGGUCGCCAU
RNAcentral lists this ribosomal RNA (269 nucleotides) under uncultured bacterium. RNAcentral's name for it is "partial 16S ribosomal RNA". The record is from RNAcentral.